RNAcentral lists this ribosomal RNA (119 nucleotides) under Pteropus alecto (black flying fox). Lineage: Eukaryota; Metazoa; Chordata; Mammalia; Chiroptera; Pteropodidae. The record is from RNAcentral.
GUCUACGGCCAUGCCACCCUGAACAAGCCUGAUCCCAUCUGAUCUCAGAAGCUAAGCAGGAUCGGGCCUGGUUAGUACUUGGAUGGGGGACCACCUAGGAAGACCAGGUGCAAUAGGCA